Molecule: ribosomal RNA, 464 nt
Filed under: uncultured Klebsiella sp.
Lineage: Bacteria; Pseudomonadati; Pseudomonadota; Gammaproteobacteria; Enterobacterales; Enterobacteriaceae
Description: bacterial SSU rRNA
Rfam family: Bacterial small subunit ribosomal RNA
Source: RNAcentral
CCUACGGGGGGCAGCAGUGGGGAAUAUUGCACAAUGGGCGCAAGCCUGAUGCAGCCAUGCCGCGUGUGUGAAGAAGGCCUUCGGGUUGUAAAGCACUUUCAGCGGGGAGGAAGGCGUUAAGGUUAAUAACCUUGUCGAUUGACGUUACCCGCAGAAGAAGCACCGGCUAACUCCGUGCCAGCACCGCGGUAAUACGGAGGGUGCAAGCGUUAAUCGGAAUUACUGGGCGUAAAGCGCACGCAGGCGGUCUGUCAAGUCGGAUGUGAAAUCCCCGGGCUCAACCUGGGAACUGCAUUCGAAACUGGCAGGCUAGAGUCUUGUAGAGGGGGGUAGAAUUCCAGGUGUAGCGGUGAAAUGCGUAGAGAUCUGGAGGAAUACCGGUGGCGAAGGCGGCCCCCUGGACAAAGACUGACGCUCAGGUGCGAAAGCGUGGGGAGCAAACAGGAUUAGAUACCCGUGUAGUC